UACAGAGGGGGCAAGCGUUGUUCGGAAUUACUGGGCGUAAAGCGUGCGCAGGCGGUUUUGUAAGCCAGAUGUGAAAUCCCCGGGCUUAACCUGGGAAUGGCAUUUGGGACUGCAAGGCUGGAGUGUGGCAGAGGAGACUGGAAUUCCUGGUGUAGCAGUGAAAUGCGUAGAUAUCAGGAGGAAUACCGAUGGCGAAGGCAGGUCUCUGGGCUAACACUGACGCUCAUGCACGAAAGCGUGGGGAGCAAACAGG
RNAcentral lists this ribosomal RNA (253 nucleotides) under uncultured bacterium. RNAcentral's name for it is "partial 16S ribosomal RNA". It matches the Rfam family "Bacterial small subunit ribosomal RNA", at positions 524 to 776 of the family's 1533-position model. The record is from RNAcentral.